Molecule: ribosomal RNA, 253 nt
Filed under: uncultured bacterium
Lineage: Bacteria
Description: partial 16S ribosomal RNA
Rfam family: Bacterial small subunit ribosomal RNA
Source: RNAcentral
UACGUAGGGGGCUAGCGUUGUCCGGAAUCAUUGGGCGUAAAGCGCGUGUAGGCGGUCCGGUAAGUCCGCUGUGAAAGUCGGGGGCUCAACCCUCGAAUGCCGGUGGAUACUGUCGGGCUAGAGUGCGGAAGAGGCGAGUGGAAUUCCUGGUGUAGCGGUGAAAUGCGCAGAUAUCAGGAGGAACACCAAGUGCGAAGGCAGCUCGCUGGGACGUAACUGACGCUGAGACGCGAAAGCGUGGGGAGCAAACAGG